GGGCCUAUCACCCAGCCUGGAUAGGGUAGCAGCCUCCUAAGCUGUUUGUCGGGGGUUCAAAUCCCCCUAGGCCCG
RNAcentral lists this transfer RNA (75 nucleotides) under Candidatus Nanoarchaeia archaeon. RNAcentral's name for it is "tRNA-Arg". It matches the Rfam family "tRNA". From Rfam's summary of the family: Transfer RNA (tRNA) molecules are approximately 80 nucleotides in length. Their secondary structure includes four short double-helical elements and three loops (D, anti-codon, and T loops). RNAcentral also lists the same sequence under 1 other name. The record is from RNAcentral. Lineage: Archaea; Nanobdellati; Nanobdellota; Candidatus Nanoarchaeia.